CGCUUAUGCGUUGUUGGGUAGGGGAGCGUUCUGUAAGCCUGCGAAGGUGUGCUGUGAGGCAUGCUGGAGGUAUCAGAAGUGCGAAUGCUGACAUAAGUAACGAUAAAGCGGGUGAAAAGCCCGCUCGCCGGAAGACCAAGGGUUCCUGUCCAACGUUAAUCGGGGCAGGGUGAGUCGACCCCUAAGGCGAGGCCGAAAGGCGUAGUCGAUGGGAAACAGGUUAAUAUUCCUGUACUUGGUGUUACUGCGAAGGGGGGACGGAGAAGGCUAUGUUGGCCGGGCGACGGUUGUCCCGGUUUAAGCGUGUAGGCUGGUUUUCCAGGCAAAUCCGGAAAAUCAAGGCUGAGGCGUGAUGACGAGGCACUACGGUGCUGAAGCAACAAAUGCCCUGCUUCCAGGAAAAGCCUCUAAGCAUCAGGUAACAUCAAAUCGUACCCCAAACCGACACAGGUGGUCAGGUAGAGAAUACCAAGGCGCUUGAGAGAACUCGGGUGAAGGAACUAGGCAAAAUGGUGCCGUAACUUCGGGAGAAGGCACGCUGAUAUGUAGGUGAAGUCCCUCGCGGAUGGAGCUGAAAUCAGUCGAAGAUACCAGCUGGCUGCAACUGUUUAUUAAAAACACAGCACUGUGCAAACACGAAAGUGGACGUAUACGGUGUGACGCCUGCCCGGUGC
RNAcentral lists this ribosomal RNA (674 nucleotides) under Escherichia coli. Its description in RNAcentral is "partial 23S ribosomal RNA". It matches the Rfam family "Bacterial large subunit ribosomal RNA", at positions 1212 to 1869 of the family's 2925-position model. The record is from RNAcentral. Lineage: Bacteria; Pseudomonadati; Pseudomonadota; Gammaproteobacteria; Enterobacterales; Enterobacteriaceae.